CUUUUUUUCUUUUUUUUUUAAUUUUUUUUUUUUUGAGACCCAGUCUUGCUCUGUUGCCCAGGCUGGAGUGCAGUGGUGCAAACACGGCUCACUGCAGCCUCUGCCUCCUGGGUUCAGUGAUUCUCAUGCCUCAGCCUCCGAGUAGCUGGGAUUAAAGAUGUGCAUCACCACGCCCAGCUAAUUUUUGUAUUUUUAGUAGAGAUGGGGUUUCACCAUGUUGGCCAGGCUGGUCUCGAAGUCCUGGCCUUAUGUGAUACAAAUAAUUGGGACAGCCUCCCAAAGUGCUGGGAUUACAAGCGUGAGCCACCACACCCAACCUGUUUUUAAAAUGUUUAUUGUCUAUAUUUGAGUUUACAACAUGAUGUUAUAGAAUAAUGGGACAGAUAUAGAUAGCACAGUGGUUACUAUGGUGAAGCCGAUGAGCAUGUCUGUUAUCUCACAUAGUCACCGUUUUUAGUGUGUGUGAGGAGCAGCUGAAACCUGCUUCACAGAAAUCCCUUAUGUUGUGCGUGAGCCCUCUAGACUUACUCAUCCUGUAUAUCUGCUACUUGGUGUCCUUUGGCCUACAUCUCCCUAUUUCCUUCAGCUCCUGCCCAUGGUCUCAGCCUUAGAUCCAAGGACAGUCCAAGGAAGUCCUAAGACCAUGGAGUUGGUGAUCUGGGAUCUGGGUUUGCUGAUAUUUCUCACCGUGAAUCUCUUGGUGGUGUUUGUGGGCACGAGAGGGGCAGAGAAUGGAGAGUGAGGCUACCACAUGAAGCGUCACCAGAGCUGCUCCCUGCUGCCUGCUCAGAGCACCCCGGAUCCACUGUUCAAUCUGCACAAGAUUCGGGGUCCAGACAUGGGAGACUUCAGCUGCCUCAGAGGACCGUGGACAGGGAAGGCCAGCCUCGCAUCCCUCUGUCCAUGCCUGGAAUGACUUUAAUAACCAAGAGUUUUAUUUUUGAAUUUGUAGCUGUCGUUCACUUUUUACCCACCCAUUCAAUAAACCUUACAGAAUU
This is a long non-coding RNA of Homo sapiens (human), 998 nucleotides long. Ensembl annotates it as small nucleolar RNA host gene 17. Its record names the gene SNHG17. Lineage: Eukaryota; Metazoa; Chordata; Mammalia; Primates; Hominidae. The record is from Ensembl.